Molecule: small nucleolar RNA, 132 nt
Gene: SNORA72
Rfam family: Small nucleolar RNA SNORA72
About the family: U72 is a member of the H/ACA class of snoRNAs. The snoRNA gene is located in intron 4 of the ribosomal L30 protein gene in human, mouse and chicken.
Source: Ensembl
CUGCAAAUAUUUUCGCUGUUGUGAUUUUGCAAUAAUUCUUGCAGGCUAAACAUUUGCUAUAUUAAGACCGUGCAUGUGUCCCCAGACCUAGUUAUUUCCCUAAGUCUGGUUUUAUCAAUGCUGGUGAUAAAC